Molecule: ribosomal RNA, 365 nt
Filed under: uncultured bacterium
Lineage: Bacteria
Description: bacterial SSU rRNA
Rfam family: Bacterial small subunit ribosomal RNA
Source: RNAcentral
AAGGGUAGCAAUACCUGAGUAAAGCGGCGAACGGGUGAGUAACACGUGGUUAACCUACCGAGAUGUGGGGGAUACCCCGGAGAAAUUCGGGACAAUACCGCAUACAGUCUUCUGGACGUCGGUUCGGAAGAGCAAAGCCGGGGAUCGUAAGACCUGGCGCAUUUCGAGGGGACCGCGGCCGGUUAGCUAGUUGGCGGGGUAAUGGCCCACCAAGGCUUCGAUCGGUAGCCGGCCUGAGAGGGUGAACGGCCACACCGGAACUGAGACACGGUCCGGACUCCUACGGGAGGCAGCAGUGGGGAAUUUUGCGCAAUGGGCGAAAGCCUGACGCAGCAACGCCGCGUGGAGGAUGAAGGUUCUCUGAA